RNAcentral lists this ribosomal RNA (525 nucleotides) under uncultured bacterium. RNAcentral describes it as "bacterial SSU rRNA". It matches the Rfam family "Bacterial small subunit ribosomal RNA", at positions 984 to 1509 of the family's 1533-position model. The record is from RNAcentral.
ACAUCCAGAGAAUUUAGCAGAGAUGCUUUAGUGCCUUCGGGAACUCUGAGACAGGUGCUGCAUGGCUGUCGUCAGCUCGUGUUGUGAAAUGUUGGUUAAGUCCCGNAACGAGCGCAACCCUUAUCCUUUGUUGCCAGCACGUAAUGGUGGGAACUCAAAGGAGACUGCCGGUGAUAAACCGGAGGAAGGUGGGGAUGACGUCAAGUCAUCAUGGCCCUUACGAGUAGGGCUACACACGUGCUACAAUGGCGCAUACAAAGAGAAGCGACCUCGCGAGAGCAAGCGGACCUCAUAAAGUGCGUCGUAGUCCGGAUUGGAGUCUGCAACUCGACUCCAUGAAGUCGGAAUCGCUAGUAAUCGUAAAUCAGAAUGUUACGGUGAAUACGUUCCCGGGCCUUGUACACACCGCCCGUCACACCAUGGGAGUGGGUUGCAAAAGAAGUAGAUAGCUUAACCUUCGGGAGGGCGUUUACCACUUUGUGAUUCAUGACUGGGGUGAAGUCGUAACAAGGUAAGCGUAGUGCU